Molecule: ribosomal RNA, 450 nt
Filed under: uncultured bacterium
Lineage: Bacteria
Description: partial 16S ribosomal RNA
Rfam family: Bacterial small subunit ribosomal RNA
Source: RNAcentral
GUGGGGAAUCUUCCGCAAUGGACGAAAGUCUGACGGAGCAACGCCGCGUGAGUGAUGAAGGUCUUCGGAUUGUAAAGCUCUGUUAAUCGGGACGAAAGAGCCUAGUGUGAAUAAUGCUAGGAAGUGACGGUACCGGAAUAGAAAGCCACGGCUAACUACGUGCCAGCAGCCGCGGUAAUACGUAGGUGGCAAGCGUUGUCCGGAAUUAUUGGGCGUAAAGCGCGCGCAGGCGGAUCUGCCAGUCUGUCUUAAAAGUUAGGGGCUUAACCCCGUGAUGGGAUGGAAACUACAGAUCUAGAGUAUCGGAGAGGAAAGUGGAAUUCCUAGUGUAGCGGUGAAAUGCGUAGAUAUUAGGAAGAACACCAGUGGCGAAGGCGACUUUCUGGACGAAAACUGACGCUGAGGCGCGAAAGCCAGGGGAGCGAACGGGAUUAGAUACCCGUGUAGUCC